Molecule: non-coding RNA, 732 nt
Organism: Chrysemys picta bellii (western painted turtle)
Lineage: Eukaryota; Metazoa; Chordata; Testudines; Emydidae
Source: RefSeq, a predicted model, not a curated record
AGCUGAAAUUCACCACUGCAGCACAUCAGCACAAGACCAGCAGACCACUUAAAUCCAGGAAGCACAGCAUUUAAAACAACUUGAAAACAUAGAUGCCUUGACAUCUGACAAACUCACAAGGAUAGCCACAUGUGUACUGACUGGCAUUUCCCUCUAGGCAAGGAGCUGGAUCAGGUACUUCAGGAAACCAGCUCUGGCAGCAUACAGGAAAAGAGAGACAGUGAUAUAAUGCACCAAAAGGAUUUUCCUGUCUAUCAGGCAAGAGAGUUGAUUCCUCGCUAGGUGGAGUGCCUACAGACAUAGGAGCUGGAACUAGUGGUGUGGAGGGUGCUGUCGCACCUUCUGUUUUGAAGUGUUUACAAUCAUAUACAGGGUUUACAGUUUGGUUCAGUGGUUCUCAGCACUCCCACUAUACAAAUUGUUCCAGCACCACUGCCUAGAGACUCCAACUGAGAUCAGGGUCCUACUGUGCUAGGAUCUGUACGUACACAGAAUGUGAAAGAGGCCCUGCCAUGAAGAGCUUACAACAGAGAUGACCAGUACCUGCUGAUAGUGGUGGGGCAGAGUGAGCGCAGCGGCUUCAGCAGAUGAUGCUGAGAAUGCUCAGUCUGUGUGUGCCCUCCCUUCCCUCAUGCAUCACGUCUGGCUUACAACCUGAUUUGACAAGACAGAUAAAGGCUGCGAGUGUCUCCCGAGCUACCCCAGCAUCCCCCUCCCAGAGGCUGGCGCAGA